UCGGGAAUCUUGCGCAAUGGGCGAAAGCCUGACGCAGCAACGCCGUGUGGGCGAUUGAAGGCCUUCGGGUCGUAAAGCCCUGUUGGGGGGACGAAGGGCUUAUGAGGUUAAUAGCCUCUAAGCCUGACGGUACCCUUCGAGGAAGCCCCGGCUAACUACGUGCCAGCAGCCGCGGUAAUACGUAGGGGGCGAGCGUUGUCCGGAAUCAUUGGGCGUAAAGAGCGUGUAGGCGGGCUCGGGUAAGUCCGCCGUGAAAACCUGGGGCUCAACCCCAGGCUAGCGGUGGAUACUGUCGGGCUAGAGGACGGUAGAGGCGAGUGGAAUUCCCGGUGUAGCGGUGAAAUGCGCAGAUAUCGGGAGGAACACCAGCGGCGAAGGCGGCUCGCUGGGCCGUACCUGACGCUGAGACGCGAAAGCUAGGGGAGCGAACAGGAUUAGAUACCCUGGUAGUCCUAGCCGUAAACGAUGAACACUAGGUGUGGGGGAGUCGAAUCCCUCUGUGCCGCAGCCAACGCGAUAAGUGUUCCGCCU
This 531-nucleotide ribosomal RNA is filed under the name uncultured bacterium. Its description in RNAcentral is "bacterial SSU rRNA". It matches the Rfam family "Bacterial small subunit ribosomal RNA", at positions 355 to 874 of the family's 1533-position model. The record is from RNAcentral.